GGGUGUGAGGGCUCUCUGUCUGUGACACUGGUCACCCCAUUGAUUGCUAGGGAUGAUUCGACUGACCUGGCUGAUGAGGCGGGUGCACCGGUCCUUCCUCACCACUCCAAGUGCCUCCUCCCAAAACUGCACACUCAGCUGAAGAGCGUGACCUGCCCUGAUAAAGAAUGAUCAUUCCUGGGCCAAGGGUAUAUGAGUAGCUGUGCUCCCCUGCCAGAACCUCCCCACACGCUUCCAAGGUCCAUAUGUAGGAGAAUGUAGGAUAGUCAAGCUUCUAAGACUCCAGACACUCCAAAUGAGGCGCUGCAUGUGGCAGCCUGCCUUUCUU
Capra hircus (goat) is the source of this 328-nucleotide unclassified non-coding RNA. Its record names the gene 7SK. It matches the Rfam family "7SK RNA". Rfam says of the family: 7SK was discovered as an abundant small nuclear RNA in the mid-70s but a possible function has only recently been suggested. Two independent studies have found that 7SK RNA binds the CDK9/cyclin T complex (known as elongation factor P-TEFb). The record is from Ensembl. Lineage: Eukaryota; Metazoa; Chordata; Mammalia; Artiodactyla; Bovidae.